This is a long non-coding RNA of Mytilus californianus (California mussel), 552 nucleotides long. RefSeq lists it as uncharacterized. Lineage: Eukaryota; Metazoa; Mollusca; Bivalvia; Mytilida; Mytilidae. The record is from RefSeq and is a predicted model, not a curated record. The transcript has 2 exons.
GUUGUCGUCGUCGUCAGCGUCGUCGUCGGCGUCGUCCGAAGACAUUGGUUUCCGGACAAUAAUUUUAGUUAAAAUGUAUGGAUCUCUAUGAAAUUUAACCAAAAGGUUCAAUACCACAAAAGGAAGGUUGGGAAUGUUUUUGGGGGUGAUGGUCCCAACCGUUUAGGAAUUAGGGGCCACAACAAGCAUUUUUCUAGUUUCAGGACAAUAACUUGUGUAUAAGUAUUUUGAUUGCUCUGAAAUUGUACCACAAUGUUCAAUACCACAAGUAGAAGGUUGGGAUUCAUUUUGGGGGUAAUUGCCCAAACCGUUCAGGAAGUAGGGGUCAAAAAGGGUCUAAAACAAGCAUUUUUCUAGUUUUCAGACAAUAACUUGUGUUUAAGUGUAUGGAUGUCUCUUCAUUUGUACCACAUUUUACAAAAAGAAAAUUUCUUCAAAAUUAUUUUUUUUGGAAAAGGGGGGGGGGGGUAAAUUUUUUUUUAGGGGGGGGGCAAUUUUUUUUCCUCAAAAGAAAAUUCUCUUCAAAUAUUUUUUUUUUUUUGGGGGGGGGGG